GACAGAGGUUGCAAACGUUGUUCGGAAUUACUGGGCAUAAAGCGCACGUAGGCGGUCCGUUAAGUCAUGUGUGAAAUCCCCCGGCUCAACCGGGGAAUUGCGCAUGAUACUGGCGGGCUAGAGAUCGAUAGGGGUGAGCGGAACUCCAGGUGGAGCGGUGAAAUGCGUAGAUAUCUGGAGGAACACCGGUGGCGAAAGCGGCUCACUGGAUCGAAACUGACGCUGAGGUGCGAAAGCUAGGGUAGCAAACGGG
RNAcentral lists this ribosomal RNA (253 nucleotides) under uncultured bacterium. RNAcentral's name for it is "partial 16S ribosomal RNA". It matches the Rfam family "Bacterial small subunit ribosomal RNA", at positions 524 to 776 of the family's 1533-position model. The record is from RNAcentral.